This 467-nucleotide ribosomal RNA is filed under the name uncultured bacterium. RNAcentral describes it as "partial 16S ribosomal RNA". It matches the Rfam family "Bacterial small subunit ribosomal RNA", at positions 29 to 507 of the family's 1533-position model. The record is from RNAcentral.
ACGCACGCUGGCGGCGUGCUUAACACAUGCCAGUCGAACGGAAAGGCCCUGCUUUUGUGGGGUGCUCGAGUGGCGAACGGGUGAGUAACACGUGAGUAACCUGCCCUUGACUUUGGGAUAACUUCAGGAAACUGGGGCUAAUACCGGAUAGGAGCUCCUGCUGCAUGGUGGGGGUUGGAAAGUUUCGGCGGUUGGGGAUGGACUCGCGGCUUAUCAGCUUGUUGGUGGGGUAGUGGCUUACCAAGGCUUUGACGGGUAGCCGGCCUGAGAGGGUGACCGGCCACAUUGGGACUGAGAUACGGCCCAGACUCCUACGGGAGGCAGCAGUGGGUAAUAUUGCACAAUGGGCGGAAGCCUGAUGCAGCAACGCCGCGUGCGGGAUGACGGCCUUCGGGUUGUAAACCGCUUUCGCCUGUGACGAAGCGUGAGUGACGGUAAUGGGUAAAGAAGCACCGGCUAACUACGUG